AUAGGGGACCUACCCAUGGCAAGAGGUUCAUUGUGUUGACAGAAUAAAUCCAAGACCACUACAGUCAUUACCGCUAAAGCCGUCUGCCACCGUUGAGCUUGAUGAAGGAGCUAUGGAAUUUCAACUGCUCUACCACUAGCUCCAUCUAUCACCUGCAUUGUCAAACCAGAUGCCUGGGUCUUCAUAAUUCACGUGUCAAACAGUUUACAUGAGAGUUGUCAGUGAUUCCAAACAAAAGCUUCCUUCAACAUCAUCUUCACAUGGAUCACACUGUGGAAGAGACAACCUUGAAAACCAGAACAAAAAGGAGGACAUGAGUUCGAGUGUCCAAAUAUCUGAAAAAAGGUUAGUAACUGCUUGGUCUUUAAGUAGGAUAUGGAAAUGGAAAGAGAUAGAGAAAGAGUGAGACAGAAAGACUGAGAAAGAGUGGGAAAGGAAGUAUUAGAGAACGAAUGAGAAAGAAAAAGAAAGAGAGAGAGAGAGAGAGAGAGAGAUGAAGAAAGUGUGAGAAAAUAAAAGUAGAGAUAGAAAUGAAAUAGAUAUAUAUGAGCUAUCGCCCAAUCUUACCCUGUCCAGAGCCAUAGACAAUGAAGUGCUGGUAAAGCACUCAAGAGUGAGGAGUUCAUCUACAUGGUCGAAAGGAAGGCUUUGGAAAAAUUCUGGUAAGUGUGGUGAUAUUAAAAGCAGAAGGGAGCAAUCAAACUUAUGCAAACUUAGUGUUGCUGCCGAUUUUAAGUAAGAAUAGAGACAGAAAAGAAACAAAUGUACAUGUAUAUGAGGUAGAGCCCAAUUUUACCCUGUCCAGAGCCAUAGACAAUGAAGUGCGGGUACAGUAUUCAAGAAUGAAGAAUGUCGUCGUCUACAUGGUAAAAAAGAAGACUUCAAAAAUAAGCCUUUAAAAAGAAGCCUGGUAAGUGUGGUGAUAAGCAGAAGGAUGCAAUCAAACUAAAGCAACCUUGCUUUUGGCAAAAUACUAUGGAUUUAGUGGUACAGCCAAAAUGCUAGAGAACAAUCACCUGUUCAGGUCCAAAAUAGAGAGGAAUAGAAUUUGACGACAUCCAUAUACACAUGGAGUCAUGUUUUAGAAAAUGAAAAUCGUUACACGUUAGAUGUGUUCUUGAUUCCUUCUUUUUAUCAUCUGUACAUUUGUAGAUUUGAAUAACACUGUCCGUGUUCUAAAUGAUG
Molecule: long non-coding RNA, 1185 nt
Organism: Strongylocentrotus purpuratus (purple sea urchin)
Lineage: Eukaryota; Metazoa; Echinodermata; Echinoidea; Camarodonta; Strongylocentrotidae
Exons: 3
Source: RefSeq, a predicted model, not a curated record